AUGACGCUGGCGGCAGGCCUAACACAUGCAAGUCGAGCGGCAGCGGAAAGUAGCUUGCUACUUUGCCGGCGAGCGGCGGACGGGUGAGUAAUGUCUGGGAAACUGCCUGAUGGAGGGGGAUAACUACUGGAAACGGUAGCUAAUACCGCAUAACGUCGCAAGACCAAAGAGGGGGACCUUCGGGCCUCUUGCCAUCAGAUGUGCCCAGAUGGGAUUAGCUAGUAGGUGGGGUAACGGCUCACCUAGGCGACGAUCCCUAGCUGGUCUGAGAGGAUGACCAGCCACACUGGAACUGAGACACGGUCCAGACUCCUACGGGAGGCAGCAGUGGGGAAUAUUGCACAAUGGGCGCAAGCCUGAUGCAGCCAUGCCGCGUGUAUGAAGAAGGCCUUCGGGUUGUAAAGUACUUUCAGCGGGGAGGAAGGCGUUGAGGUUAAUAACCUCAGCGAUUGACGUUACCCGCAGAAGAAGCACCGGCUAACUCCGUGCCAGCAGCCGCGGUAAUACGGAGGGUGCAAGCGUUAAUCGGAAUUACUGGGCGUAAAGCGCACGCAGGCGGUCUGUCAAGUCGGAUGUGAAAUCCCCGGGCUCAACCUGGGAACUGCAUUCGAAACUGGCAGGCUAGAGUCUUGUAGAGGGGGGUAGAAUUCCAGGUGUAGCGGUGAAAUGCGUAGAGAUCUGGAGGAAUACCGGUGGCGAAGGCGGCCCCCUGGACAAAGACUGACGCUCAGGUGCGAAAGCGUGGGGAGCA
RNAcentral lists this ribosomal RNA (751 nucleotides) under Enterobacter sp. ER.2.3. RNAcentral's name for it is "bacterial SSU rRNA". It matches the Rfam family "Bacterial small subunit ribosomal RNA", at positions 30 to 770 of the family's 1533-position model. The record is from RNAcentral. Lineage: Bacteria; Pseudomonadati; Pseudomonadota; Gammaproteobacteria; Enterobacterales; Enterobacteriaceae.